GCCCGGGUGGUGAAAUUGGUAGACACAAGAGACUUAAAAUCUCUCGCUCGCAAGGGCGUGCCGGUUCGAUUCCGGCCCCGGGCA
Transfer RNA from Candidatus Methylopumilus planktonicus, 84 nucleotides. It matches the Rfam family "tRNA". From Rfam's summary of the family: Transfer RNA (tRNA) molecules are approximately 80 nucleotides in length. Their secondary structure includes four short double-helical elements and three loops (D, anti-codon, and T loops). The record is from Rfam. NCBI's taxonomy places the organism in Bacteria, Pseudomonadati, Pseudomonadota, Betaproteobacteria, Nitrosomonadales, Methylophilaceae.